GACGUAGGGGGCCAGCGUUGCUCGGAAUUACUGGGUGUAAAGGGUUCGUAGGCGGUGUGGCAAGUCGGGAGUGAAAUCCCUGGGCUUAACCCAGGGGCUGCUUCCGAAACUGCUGUGCUUGAGUGUGGGAGAGGGGCGUGGAAUUGCAGGUGUAGCGGUGAAAUGCGUAGAUAUCUGCAGGAACACCCGUGGCGAAAGCGGCGCGCUUGGCCACUACUGACGCUGAGGACCUAAAGCUAGGGGAGCAAACAGU
This 253-nucleotide ribosomal RNA is filed under the name uncultured bacterium. RNAcentral's name for it is "partial 16S ribosomal RNA". It matches the Rfam family "Bacterial small subunit ribosomal RNA", at positions 524 to 776 of the family's 1533-position model. The record is from RNAcentral.